This 237-nucleotide ribosomal RNA is filed under the name uncultured soil bacterium. RNAcentral's name for it is "partial 16S ribosomal RNA". It matches the Rfam family "Bacterial small subunit ribosomal RNA", at positions 26 to 262 of the family's 1533-position model. The record is from RNAcentral.
AGAUUGAACGCUGGCGGCAGGCCUAACACAUGCAAGUCGAGCGGCAGCACGGGUACUUGUACCUGGUGGCGAGCGGCGGACGGGUGAGUAAUGCCUAGGAAUCUGCCUGAUAGUGGGGGAUAACGCUCGGAAACGGACGCUAAUACCGCAUACGUCCUACGGGAGAAAGCAGGGGACCUUCGGGCCUUGCGCUAUCAGAUGAGCCUAGGUCGGAUUAGCUAGGUUGGUGGGACAAGU